GUCCCUCGUGGAAAAUCACCUUCCCGGGGUGAGGGACGUCAGUAAGCGGGAUUUCAUGAUCUAGCCGAAACUGAGAACUUUCC
This 83-nucleotide non-coding RNA is filed under the name Talaromyces stipitatus ATCC 10500. The record is from RNAcentral. Lineage: Eukaryota; Fungi; Ascomycota; Eurotiomycetes; Eurotiales; Trichocomaceae.